Non-coding RNA from Naegleria gruberi, 110 nucleotides. The record is from the annotation of a RefSeq genome assembly. NCBI's taxonomy places the organism in Eukaryota, Heterolobosea, Eutetramitea, Acrasida, Naegleriidae.
GAGUAUGUAGCUCAGAGGGAGAGCAAGGAGGCUCUUGAAGUGUGUCUAAAAAAAAGAUCAUGUCUAGAUACACAGUAUCCUGGUCGUCAGAUCGAAACUGACCGUACUCA